CCUACGGGAGGCAGCAGUGGGGAAUUUUGGACAAUGGGCGCAAGCCUGAUCCAGCAAUGCCGCGUGAGUGAAGAAGGCCUUCGGGUUGUAAAGCUCUUUUGUCAGGGAAGAAACGGUCUACUCUAAUACAGUGGGCUAAUGACGGUACCUGAAGAAUAAGCACCGGCUAACUACGUGCCAGCAGCCGCGGUAAUACGUAGGGUGCAAGCGUUAAUCGGAAUUACUGGGCGUAAAGCGUGCGCAGGCGGUUAUAUAAGUCAGAUGUGAAAUCCCCGGGCUCAACCUGGGAACUGCAUUUGAGACUGUAUGGCUAGAGUGUGUCAGAGGGGGGUAGAAUUCCACGUGUAGCAGUGAAAUGCGUAGAUAUGUGGAGGAAUACCGAUGGCGAAGGCAGCCCCCUGGGAUAACACUGACGCUCAUGCACGAAAGCGUGGGGAGCAAACAGGAUUAGAUACCCUGGUAGUCCACGCCCUAAACGAUGUCUACUAGUUGUCGGGACUUAAUUGUNUGUAGCAGCACGACGNGAGAGACGCCGCGGGUAAGGUACGGUCGUUCGAGAAGUUAAACGUUAAACGUAAGAAGUUAGUUACGGCGNGAGAGAGCGACGGACGACGACGAGGGAGGAGGAG
Molecule: ribosomal RNA, 629 nt
Filed under: uncultured bacterium
Lineage: Bacteria
Description: bacterial SSU rRNA
Rfam family: Bacterial small subunit ribosomal RNA (bases 1-534)
Source: RNAcentral